This 1045-nucleotide ribosomal RNA is filed under the name Paradictyoarthrinium hydei. Its description in RNAcentral is "SSU rRNA". It matches the Rfam family "Eukaryotic small subunit ribosomal RNA", at positions 54 to 1110 of the family's 1831-position model. The record is from RNAcentral. Lineage: Eukaryota; Fungi; Ascomycota; Dothideomycetes; Pleosporales; Paradictyoarthriniaceae.
CAUGUCUAGUAUAAGCAUUAUACCGUGAAACUGCGAAUGGCUCAUUAAAUCAGUUAUCGUUUAUUUGAUAGUACCUUACUACUUGGAUAACCGUGGUAAUUCUAGAGCUAAUACAUGCUAAAAACCCCGACUUCGGGAGGGGUGUAUUUAUUAGAUAAAAAACCAAUGCCCUUCGGGGCUCUUUGGUGAUUCAUGAUAACUUAACGGAUCGCAUGGCCUUGCGCCGGCGACGGUUCAUUCAAAUUUCUGCCCUAUCAACUUUCGAUGGUAAGGUAUUGGCUUACCAUGGUUUCAACGGGUAACGGGGAAUUAGGGUUCGAUUCCGGAGAGGGAGCCUGAGAAACGGCUACCACAUCCAAGGAAGGCAGCAGGCGCGCAAAUUACCCAAUCCCGACACGGGGAGGUAGUGACAAUAAAUACUGAUACAGGGCUCUUUUGGGUCUUGUAAUCGGAAUGAGUACAAUUUAAACCCCUUAACGAGGAACAAUUGGAGGGCAAGUCUGGUGCCAGCAGCCGCGGUAAUUCCAGCUCCAAUAGCGUAUAUUAAAGUUGUUGCAGUUAAAAAGCUCGUAGUUGAACCUUGGGCCUGGCUGGCCGGUCCGCCUCACCGCGUGUACUGGUCCGGCCGGGCCUUUCCUUCUGGAGAGCCGCAUGCCCUUCACUGGGUGUGCCGGGGAACCAGGACUUUUACUUUGAAAAAAUUAGAGUGUUCAAAGCAGGCCUUUGCUCGAAUACGUUAGCAUGGAAUAAUAGAAUAGGACGUGCGAUCCUAUUUUGUUGGUUUCUAGGACCGCCGUAAUGAUUAAUAGGGAUAGUCGGGGGCAUCAGUAUUCAAUUGUCAGAGGUGAAAUUCUUGGAUUUAUUGAAGACUAACUACUGCGAAAGCAUUUGCCAAGGAUGUUUUCAUUAAUCAGUGAACGAAAGUUAGGGGAUCGAAGACGAUCAGAUACCGUCGUAGUCUUAACCGUAAACUAUGCCGACUAGGGAUCGGGCGAUGUUUUCAUCUUGACUCGCUCGGCACCUUACGAGAAAUCAAAGUUUUUGG